This is a long non-coding RNA of Helianthus annuus (common sunflower), 271 nucleotides long. RefSeq lists it as uncharacterized. The record is from RefSeq and is a predicted model, not a curated record. The transcript has 3 exons. NCBI's taxonomy places the organism in Eukaryota, Viridiplantae, Streptophyta, Magnoliopsida, Asterales, Asteraceae.
UCAACUUUCUCUUUCUAAAACUCACUCUCUCUUUCUAAAAGUCACUUUCUUUAUCUCAAAUCCAAACCACCAUCUCAUCUCUCAACGAUUUACUUCUAUAAGCCUUCUCCUCUUCCACCGAUUUCGAUCUGACAGGGUUUUUGAAAUUGAUUUACAGUACAGAGGAGAAGAAAACGGAUAAUGAGAAGAUGCAUGCCUUACAAAAACUUAUUCCAGAUUCAUAUAAGGUGUUGGUUUAGAGAAGCCAAACGCGUGUGCGUUUAAUACUACA